AACGACUCUCGGCAACGGAUAUCUCGGCUCUUGCAUCGAUGAAGAACGUAGCGAAAUGCGAUACUUGUUUUGAAUUGCAGAAUCCCAUCAAUUCUUUGAACGCAAGUUGCGCCCGAAGCCAUCCGGCCGAGGGCACGCCUGCCUGGGUGUCGUGA
RNAcentral lists this ribosomal RNA (155 nucleotides) under Acisanthera alsinaefolia var. glazioviana. RNAcentral describes it as "5.8S ribosomal RNA". It matches the Rfam family "5.8S ribosomal RNA". From Rfam's summary of the family: 5.8S ribosomal RNA (5.8S rRNA) is a component of the large subunit of the eukaryotic ribosome. It is transcribed by RNA polymerase I as part of the 45S precursor that also contains 18S and 28S rRNA. Lineage: Eukaryota; Viridiplantae; Streptophyta; Magnoliopsida; Myrtales; Melastomataceae. The record is from RNAcentral.